Molecule: ribosomal RNA, 290 nt
Filed under: uncultured bacterium
Lineage: Bacteria
Description: partial 16S ribosomal RNA
Rfam family: Bacterial small subunit ribosomal RNA
Source: RNAcentral
CAUGCCUACGGGACGCAGCAGUGAGGAAUAUUGGUCAAUGGUCGGGAGACUGAACCAGCCAAGCCGCGUGAGGGAUGAAGGUACAGAGUAUCGUAAACCUCUUUUGUCAGGGAACAAAGGCGGGGACGUGUCCCCGGAUGAGUGUACCUGAAGAAAAAGCAUCGGCUAACUCCGUGCCAGCAGCCGCGGUAAUACGGGGGAUGCGAGCGUUAUCCGGAUUUAUUGGGUUUAAUGGGUUCGCAGGCGGUCUGUUAAGGCAGCGGUCAAAGCCCGGGGCUCAUCCCCGGGCC